GACGAACGCUGGCGGCGUGCUUAACACAUGCAAGUCGAACGGAAAGGCCCCUUUGGGGGUACUCGAGUGGCGAACGGGUGAGUAACACGUGAGUAACCUGCCCUUGACUUCGGGAUAACUUCAGGAAACUGGGGCUAAUACCGGAUAGGAAUCCUUGCUGCAUGGUGGAGGUUGGAAAGCUUCGGCGGUUUUGGAUGGACUCGCGGCUUAUCAGCUUGUUGGUGGGGUAGUGGCUUACCAAGGCUUUGACGGGUAGCCGGCCUGAGAGGGCGACCGGCCACAUUGGGACUGAGAUACGGCCCAGACUCCUACGGGAGGCAGCAGUGGGGAAUAUUGCACAAUGGGCGGAAGCCUGAUGCAGCAACGCCGCGUGCGGGAUGACGGCCUUCGGGUUGUAAACCGCUUUCAGCAGGGGCGAAGCUUGUGGUGACGGUACCUGCAGAAGAAGCACCGGCUAACUACGUG
RNAcentral lists this ribosomal RNA (465 nucleotides) under uncultured bacterium. Its description in RNAcentral is "partial 16S ribosomal RNA". It matches the Rfam family "Bacterial small subunit ribosomal RNA", at positions 28 to 507 of the family's 1533-position model. The record is from RNAcentral.